RNAcentral lists this ribosomal RNA (800 nucleotides) under uncultured bacterium. Its description in RNAcentral is "bacterial SSU rRNA". It matches the Rfam family "Bacterial small subunit ribosomal RNA", at positions 8 to 845 of the family's 1533-position model. The record is from RNAcentral.
AGAGUUUGAUCCUGGCUCAGAAUCAACGCUGGCGGCGCGCCUAACACAUGCAAGUCGCACGAGAAAGCCGCAAGGUGAGUAAAGUGGCAGACGGGUGAGUAACACGUGGAUCAUCUACCCUUUGAUGGGGAAUAACCCUGGGAAACCGGGGCUAAUACCGCAUAAGUCCGAGAGGAGAAAGCCGAAAGGCGUCGAAGGAAGAGUCCGCGGCCGAUUAGCUAGUUGGCGGGGUAACGGCCCACCAAGGCGAAGAUCGGUAGCCGGCCUGAGAGGGCACACGGCCACACUGGCACUGAGAUACGGGCCAGACUCCUACGGGAGGCAGCAGUGGGGAAUCUUGCACAAUGGGGGAAACCCUGAUGCAGCGACGCCGCGUGAGUGAUGAAGUCCUUCGGGAUGUAAAGCUCUUUCGACAGGAACGAUAAUGACGGUACCUGGAGAAGAAGCUGCGGCUAACUACGUGCCAGCAGCCGCGGUAAUACGUAGGCAGCAAGCGUUGUUCGGAAUUAUUGGGCGUAAAGAGUAUGUAGGCGGUUCGCUAAGUCUGAUGUGAAAUCUCCUGGCUUAACUGGGAGGGUGCGUCGGAUACUGGCGGGCUCGAGUGCGGGAGAGGGAAGCGGAAUUCCUGGUGUAGCGGUGAAAUGCGUAGAUAUCAGGAGGAACACCGGUGGUGUAGACGGCUUCCUGGACCGUAACUGACGCUGAGAUACGAAAGCGUGGGUAGCAAACAGGAUUAGAUACCCUGGUAGUCCACGCCCUAAACGAUGCGGACUUGGUGUAGGCAGUUCAGUCUGUCUGUG